Long non-coding RNA from Penaeus indicus, 995 nucleotides. RefSeq lists it as uncharacterized. The transcript has 2 exons. The record is from RefSeq and is a predicted model, not a curated record. NCBI's taxonomy places the organism in Eukaryota, Metazoa, Arthropoda, Malacostraca, Decapoda, Penaeidae.
CUGGAUGUGUGUGCAACAGGACCGCCUUCCAUCAAGAGACGUGUGCUCAAGAUCCUCAACCUCCGCAAUGCAUCAGUCAAGACCAUCAAGAAUAUCAUGAGAGAAUAUGCCAGUAACCUAGGAGAUGGAACGAACUCAGACGCGCAGGCAGAAGAGCAGGACAGAAUACUCGACUUGCUUGAUAAGUUCCAAAACACGUGAGACCAACUGAGGCCAGAGUGCUAGGGUGCAUGCUGAAGGAGGAGGAGGAGGAGGAGAAGGAAAAGGAAAAGGAAGAAGAGAAGGAGGAGGAGGAGGAGGAGGAAGAGGAAAAGGAAGAAGAGAAAGAGGAGGAGGAGGAUAUGCAGCUAUCUCCUUGGACAGUGAGACUUCUCUUUUAGGCUGAAUGAGUUGUGGUUUUGUUAGAUUGAGAACUUUUCCUCUCAGACUGGUUCACUUCAGAAGUACAAAGAUGCUUAUUAGAAAAGAAAAUCCAUCACUACUAUGCUUUUUAUUUUUCUUUAAUGUUUUUCGUCAUCAUUAUUAUUAUUAUUAUUUUUAUUGAUCAUCAUUACUGUUACUGUGCUCUUGUUACAAUCAUUAUUACUAAAUUCCAUUGUUAUUAUUAUAUUCAUUGUUAUUACCAGCCGUGUUAUUAUUAGGCCUAAUGUGCCCAACAAUUCUUUAAUGUUCAGAGAGACAAGACACAAGGAGGCAGAAAGAAUAUCUCUUCUCCUUCCUAAUUCAGUCUGUUAUGAUUAGUUUUUUUAAGGUUUAUUCUUAGAUAUGUCUUUUUGCUUAUAUUUCUUUUUCUUUUUUAUCCCCCAUUCUUAUAAAUAUAUAUCUAUGGGUACGUUUUUUCUUCUUUCCUAGAUUUCAUUCUGUCUGUCAUGUCGUGUCUGUGAAAUUCUGUCCGAGCGUCACCAGUAGUCGGUAGUCAUUUUUCAUUUAGGUGUGAAAAUCAAGAGCAUUUUUAAAUUAUGUUGAUGAUCAAAAUGAAAAAGUAACAGUAGUUA